This is a long non-coding RNA of Canis lupus familiaris (dog), 566 nucleotides long. RefSeq lists it as uncharacterized. Lineage: Eukaryota; Metazoa; Chordata; Mammalia; Carnivora; Canidae. The record is from RefSeq and is a predicted model, not a curated record. The transcript has 3 exons.
AAAGGAAUGUCUUGGGGCAACCCUAAAUAAACUGGUGACCUACAGAUCAAAGAUGCUGUGUUUUAUUAGCCAUCUCCUGACCCAGCCAAUCCUACUGUCCUCUAACUGUUACACAUAACCAGAUAAACCCUCCCUUCUCCUGCCUUUCUUCCUCUGAGAAUCACAAGAAUCACAAAUCAGCCCCGACAGCAUUUGGUUUCUCAUCUUCAGGAAUGUGGCUGGGCCUGCGUGAUUCUGAAGACUUGAAUGGAAGCAGACUGGCUGAGCUUAAUCCUAAGGACAGAGACAUGGCUGGUAGCAAGAGAGGUCCACUGAGGUUCCCACGAGGUUCCAUCUUGGUCAGUGAAGGCAUUGAAUAAGAAUGUCUUCUAAGGGAAGACCCUGAGAAUUCAGUUCUGGAGAGGGAAGAUGAAGAACAGAUUCACCUCAUGAGCCAUGCAAACAAGGACCUGCCAGAGCCUACCUGGUGACCUCAGGUGAUGGCGAAUUCUAGUGAAGAAGCUUGAAAGACAUGGUGGCCAACAGAAAAAUAAAUCAUUAAUCCUAAGGUUAACUAACUAUUGAAU